Molecule: long non-coding RNA, 479 nt
Filed under: Homo sapiens (human)
Lineage: Eukaryota; Metazoa; Chordata; Mammalia; Primates; Hominidae
Description: LHRI_LNC1000.1
Source: RNAcentral
GUUGAUGCCUGUAUUUUAUUCAAUCAGUCGUUGUCUUUUAAUUGGUAGACCAUUUAUAUUUAGUGAUACUUGAUAGAGUUGGAUUAAUAUUUCCCAUAUAUUAAUUGUUUUCUGUUUGUUGCCCUUGUAAUUAUUUCCCUUUUUUGUCCUCCCCUCUUCAUAUGGUUUGGCUCUGUGCCCCUACCCAAAUCUCACGUGGAAUUGUAAUCCCCAUAAUCCCCACCUGUUGAGAGAGGGACUUGGUGGGAGGUGAUUGGGUCAUGUGGGUGGUUUUCCCCAUGCUGUUCUCGUGAUAGUGAGUGAGUUCUCACAAGAUCCCAUGGUUUUAUAAGGGGCUCUUCCCGCUUUGCUUCCUCUCACCUGCUGCCAUGUACAACAUGCCUUUGCUUCUCCUUCGCCUUCUGCCAUGAUUCUAAGCUUCCUGAGGCCUCCCCAGCCAUGCAGAACUGUGAGUCAAACCUCUUUCCUUUAUAAAUUAC